Tribolium castaneum (red flour beetle) is the source of this 987-nucleotide long non-coding RNA. RefSeq lists it as uncharacterized. The transcript is spliced from 3 exons. NCBI's taxonomy places the organism in Eukaryota, Metazoa, Arthropoda, Insecta, Coleoptera, Tenebrionidae. The record is from RefSeq and is a predicted model, not a curated record.
GAUGACACAGAACACGAGUAUAAGAUGUGUAACGUUAUCUUUUAUAACACUGGAGAAAUUUUAUUCAAAAUGAAGCACACUGUCGUGCUAACUUUGACGUUAAUUUCUUUCUCAUCCGGUGAAAAAUUUGUGCACAGACCUUGCAACUCGUACAAUAUCAGUAAUUACAAUUUCAAUCUCAAUCAGUUUCAGGGCAAAUGGUACGAAGUGGCGAAAUAUGGCAGUCCGGAUAAAUGUGCCACUUAUUUUUUCACGCCCGUUUCUGGUAGUUUCACAAAUGUAACGCGCUUCAGCGGCACGAAAAAAGAUGGCUAUAAGUAUACGACGUGCCUUUUGGCGCAAAAAAAUCCACACGGCAUGGAGUGUGAGAUGCACAUAGAUAAUAAGACCAUCCCAGCCAAAAUACUCACGACAGACUAUAGCAAUUACGGUGUAAUUUGGACCUGUCGUAAUGUAACAUACGACACAAGUUACCAAAUGCUAGUUGUGUUAAGUAAAUACAAUAAUACGAAGCUUAAUGAUUUGAGUGUGGUUAAACGUGUUUUAAAUGAAACAACUUUGAGCAGUGACCCCGUCAAAUUAUCAGAAACCGAUCAAUCCCCAUUUACGUGUAGUAAAAGUGUUUUUAAUAACACGUUCACCAAUUUUACUUCAAUACAUUCUGGCAACUCUCAAGUAACCACAAAUUAUAUCGUCGUUUGUGCAAUGUUUGCGCUUUUUAUUAUUAAGCUGUAACUUUUACUUUCAAAAUAUUCCAAGUCCCAAUAAAAUUCUAGCACAAGUGCAAAUGUUUAAGAUUUCUGUACACUGUUUUGGUUCCUGUAUAAAUGAUAAAUGUAGCGGAAUUAUUUCACACUUAAUGUAACGUUCAUUUAUCAAAUCCGAGUAUUUUGAAACACAACAUUGUAAAUUACGUUUUAUUUUAAUAUUAGUUCAGAUUAUUAUUUAUAAGUAUGGGAAUAAAAAUAAAUACAUGUGUAAUUUUAA